ACUUACGGCCAUACCACCCUGAACAUGCCCGAUCUCGUCUGAUCUCGGAAGCGAACCAGGGUCGGGCCUGGUCAGUACUUGGAUUGAAGACAGCCUGAGAAUACCAGGUGCAGUAAGCU
Molecule: ribosomal RNA, 119 nt
Filed under: Sphaeramia orbicularis (orbiculate cardinalfish)
Lineage: Eukaryota; Metazoa; Chordata; Actinopteri; Kurtiformes; Apogonidae
Source: RNAcentral